GAUCAUGGCUCAGGAUGAACGCUAGCGACAGGCCUAACACAUGCAAGUCGAGGGGCAGCGGAGAGGUAGCAAUACCUUUGCCGGCGACCGGCGCACGGGUGAGUAACACGUAUGCAAUCCGCCUGUAACAGGGGGAUAACCCGGAGAAAUCCGGACUAAUACCCCAUAAUAUGGGCGCUCCGCAUGGAGAGUUCAUUAAAGAGAGCAAUUUUGGUUACAGACGAGCAUGCGCU
RNAcentral lists this ribosomal RNA (233 nucleotides) under uncultured bacterium. RNAcentral describes it as "partial 16S ribosomal RNA". It matches the Rfam family "Bacterial small subunit ribosomal RNA", at positions 15 to 237 of the family's 1533-position model. The record is from RNAcentral.